RNAcentral lists this ribosomal RNA (531 nucleotides) under Triticum aestivum (bread wheat). RNAcentral's name for it is "partial small subunit ribosomal RNA". The record is from RNAcentral. Lineage: Eukaryota; Viridiplantae; Streptophyta; Magnoliopsida; Poales; Poaceae.
AUGUGCAUAUUGUGUAUUGGGCCCAAGGCCAAACGUGCGGACGGCUGUGUUCGCGUGGCGGCUGUUGGUCGUGUGAGGGAGGAGCUGAGUAGUGUUUCAUCCCUGUUGGCAAGCUCGCAUGAGCUCCACGAGUCUGACUCAUCGCCCACCCGCGUGCACCGGCCAAAGACCUACUCCAGCGCUGGUGAAUGCAGUAGUGUCUUCGCGAGAGAAGUUUGGCAUGUCAUUUGUGGAGCUCUGGGUAGGCCAUAGUGGGCGCCGAACCCGGACUCGAGGCUGCGGGACUGGGGUGCCGUCAUGGCUACUCCGGGACGGGAGGCGAAGAACACACGCGCUUUCCUGCUGCUCGUGCUAUGGGAAAUUUGGAAACACCGAAACGCAAUUGUCUUCAAUGGAGCCUCCGUCUCUUCAAAGACGCUAGCGAGCCGAAUCGACACCGAAGGACGCGCAUGGAAGCGAGCCGGCAUCUUCAAAGGCAACGUAGAACCUACUAUUGAGGGUUUAGUUAGGUGGGCUGAGGGGAGAAGCUAG